UUUGUAUUUUAGCGUAUUGUAAUUGAACAAAAAAAUAAAAAAAAAGAAGAGGAAAUUCAAAAAAAAAUCAAAAAAAAAUUGAUUGAAAAAAAAUUCAAAAAAAAAAUUCGAAGUAUAUAAAAAAAAGUGAAAAGUCUUGUGAGUUUUAUUUGUUAUUAUUUCUUGUUGCUUCCGAGCAUCCAUUCAUUCUACCAUUUCUUCUACCCCUCCCAAAACGCCACACAUAGUUUGAUUUUUAUUUUCCUUGUUUAGCCUACCCUACACCCUAGGUUAUUUCC
RNAcentral lists this long non-coding RNA (278 nucleotides) under Gossypium raimondii (Peruvian cotton). Its description in RNAcentral is "long non-coding RNA (GRAI_LNC008335)". The record is from RNAcentral. Lineage: Eukaryota; Viridiplantae; Streptophyta; Magnoliopsida; Malvales; Malvaceae.